UCCGCAGGCGGUCUUUUAAGUCAGAGGUGAAAUCCUACAGCUCAACUGUAGAACGGCCUUUGAUACUGAAAGACUUGAGUUAUUAUGAAGUGGUUAGAAUGUGUGGUGUAGCGGUGAAAUGCAUAGAUAUCACACAGAAUACCGAUUGCGAAGGCAGAUCACUAAUAAUAUACUGACGCUCAUGGACGAAAGCGUGGGGAGCGAACAGGAUUAGAUACCCUGGUAGUCCACGCCGUAAACGAUGGAUACUAGCUGUUCGUCUAACAUUGGUUAGAUGAGUGGCUAAGCGAAAGUGAUAAGUAUCCCACCUGGGGAGUACGGUCGCAAGACUGAAACUCAAAGGAAUUGACGGGGGCCCGCACAAGCGGUGGAGCAUGUGGUUUAAUUCGAUGA
RNAcentral lists this ribosomal RNA (393 nucleotides) under uncultured Bacteroidota bacterium. RNAcentral's name for it is "bacterial SSU rRNA". It matches the Rfam family "Bacterial small subunit ribosomal RNA", at positions 568 to 957 of the family's 1533-position model. The record is from RNAcentral. Lineage: Bacteria; Pseudomonadati; Bacteroidota.